AAAGUCUGACGGAGCAACGCCGCGUGAGUGAUGAAGGUUUUCGGAUCGUAAAACUCUGUUGUCAGGGAAGAACAAGUGCCGGAGUAACUGCCGGCACCUUGACGGUACCUGACCAGAAAGCCACGGCUAACUACGUGCCAGCAGCCGCGGUAAUACGUAGGUGGCAAGCGUUGUCCGGAAUUAUUGGGCGUAAAGCGCGCGCAGGCGGUUUCUUAAGUCUGAUGUGAAAGCCCCCGGCUCAACCGGGGAGGGUCAUUGGAAACUGGGAAACUUGAGUGCAGAAGAGGAGAGUGGAAUUCCACGUGUAGCGGUGAAAUGCGUAGAGAUGUGGAGGAACACCAGUGGCGAAGGCGACUCUCUGGUCUGUAACUGACGCUGAGGCGCGAAAGCGUGGGGAGCGAACAGGAUUAGAUACCCUGGUAGUCCACGCCGUAAACGAUGAGUGCUAAGUGUUAGAGGGUUUCCGCCCUUUAGUGCUGCAGCUAACGCAUUAAGCACUCCGCCUGGGGAGUACGGUCGCAAGACUGAAACUCAAAGGAAUUGACGGGGGCCCGCACAAGCGGUGGAGCAUGUGGUUUAAUUCGAAGCAACGCGAAGAACCUUACCAGGUCUUGACAUCCUUUGCCACUUCUAGAGAUAGAAGGUUCCCCUUCGGGGGACAAAGUGACAGGUGGUGCAUGGUUGUCGUCAGCUCGUGUCGUGAGAUGUUGGGUUAAGUCCCGCAACGAGCGCAACCCUUGAUCUUAGUUGCCAGCAUUCAGUUGGGCACUCUAAGGUGACUGCCGGUGACAAACCGGAGGAAGGUGGGGAUGACGUCAAAUCAUCAUGCCCCUUAUGACCUGGGCUACACACGUGCUACAAUGGAUGGUACAAAGGGCUGCGAGACCGCGAGGUUUAGCCAAUCCCAUAAAACCAUUCUCAGUUCGGAUUGCAGGCUGCAACUC
RNAcentral lists this ribosomal RNA (944 nucleotides) under uncultured Bacillus sp. RNAcentral's name for it is "bacterial SSU rRNA". It matches the Rfam family "Bacterial small subunit ribosomal RNA", at positions 378 to 1313 of the family's 1533-position model. Lineage: Bacteria; Bacillati; Bacillota; Bacilli; Caryophanales; Bacillaceae. The record is from RNAcentral.